UUGCAAUAUCAAACCUGGGCUGUGGGGACGCUGUUUGCAAUGGCUGCAAACAGCAGCCUCCUUGGUGGUAUAUUUUGCCUGUGCAGGUUGUGCUAAGGAACCCUGGAGACGGUU
This is a small nucleolar RNA of Capra hircus (goat), 114 nucleotides long. Its record names the gene SNORA70. It matches the Rfam family "Small nucleolar RNA SNORA70". Rfam says of the family: snoRNA U70 seems to be exclusive to mammals and is a member of the H/ACA class of snoRNA which contain H (ANANNA) and ACA box motifs. H/ACA box snoRNAs are involved in the conversion of uridines to pseudouridines (5-ribosyluracil) a constituent of structural RNAs (transfer, ribosomal, small nuclear, and small nucleolar). The record is from Ensembl. NCBI's taxonomy places the organism in Eukaryota, Metazoa, Chordata, Mammalia, Artiodactyla, Bovidae.